Molecule: long non-coding RNA, 293 nt
Organism: Neofelis nebulosa (Clouded leopard)
Lineage: Eukaryota; Metazoa; Chordata; Mammalia; Carnivora; Felidae
Exons: 2
Source: RefSeq, a predicted model, not a curated record
AUCUCUGAGUCUAUUACCAUGGACAGGGCUCAGAGUGCUCUGACUGGCAAGAUCUGGGUCACAUUUACAUCUCUGAAGCAGGGAAUGGUCGCCCCACUCACUCCAGAAGAAUAGGGUGUGGGGGGAGGAGUUAUCUCCAUUUGGAAAGAGUUGUAGGCUUUUCCCUUAAAGAUCAGCUAUUCAUGGCCCUGUUGGCUCAGAAGGUAGUGUGAAUUGUUUUUCUGUCACUUGCAACCAAAAUGAAGACAUGUUUAAAUUCCUGUCUUCCCAGAUAAAUGGUGAGCUCCAAAAGA